RNAcentral lists this ribosomal RNA (376 nucleotides) under uncultured Desulfobulbus sp. Its description in RNAcentral is "bacterial SSU rRNA". It matches the Rfam family "Bacterial small subunit ribosomal RNA", at positions 1002 to 1382 of the family's 1533-position model. The record is from RNAcentral. Lineage: Bacteria; Pseudomonadati; Thermodesulfobacteriota; Desulfobulbia; Desulfobulbales; Desulfobulbaceae.
UGAAAGGGAUACUCUUCGGACAAUAUACAAGGUGCUGCAUGGUUGUCGUCAGCUCGUGCCGUGAGGUGUCGGGUUAAGUCCCAUAACGAGCGCAACCCCUACUCAUUAGUUGCCAUCAGGUCAAGCUGGGGACUCUAAAGGGACUGCCGGUGUUAAACCGGAGGAAGUGGGGAUGACGUCAAGUCCUCAUGGCCUUUAUGACCAGGGCUACACACGUACUACAAUGGCCGAUACAAAGGGCAGCGACACUGCGAGGUGAAGCCAAUCCCGUAAAAUCGGUCUCAGUCCGGAUUGGAGUCUGCAACUCGACUCCAUGAAGUUGGAAUCGCUAGUAAUCGUGGAUCAGCAUGCCACGGUGAAUACGUUCCCGGGCCUU